RNAcentral lists this ribosomal RNA (250 nucleotides) under uncultured bacterium. RNAcentral's name for it is "partial 16S ribosomal RNA". It matches the Rfam family "Bacterial small subunit ribosomal RNA", at positions 524 to 773 of the family's 1533-position model. The record is from RNAcentral.
UACGGAGGGAGCUAGCGUUGUUCGGAAUUACUGGGCGUAAAGCGCACGUAGGCGGCUUUGUAAGUUAGGGGUGAAAGCCCAGUGCUCAACACUGGAACUGCCCUUAAGACUGCAUCGCUUGAAUCCAGGAGAGGUGAGUGGAAUUCCGAGUGUAGAGGUGAAAUUCGUAGAUAUUCGGAAGAACACCAGUGGCGAAGGCGGCUCACUGGACUGGUAUUGACGCUGAGGUGCGAAAGCGUGGGGAGCAAAC